Molecule: ribosomal RNA, 429 nt
Filed under: Bacteroidota bacterium
Lineage: Bacteria; Pseudomonadati; Bacteroidota
Description: Bacteroidetes bacterium partial 16S ribosomal RNA
Rfam family: Bacterial small subunit ribosomal RNA
Source: RNAcentral
UAGGGAAUCUUCCGCAAUGGACGCAAGUCUGACGGAGCAACGCCGCGUGAGUGAAGAAGGAUUUCGGUUCGUAAAACUCUGUUGUUAGAGAAGAACAGCGCAUAGAGUAACUGUUAUGCGUGUGACGGUAUCUAACCAGAAAGCCACGGCUAACUACGUGCUAGCAGCCGCGGUAAUACGUAGGUGGCAAGCGUUGUCCGGAUUUAUUGGGCGUAAAGCGAGCGCAGGCGGUCAAUUAAGUCUGAUGUGAAAGCCCCCGGCUCAACCGGGGAGGGUCAUUGGAAACUGGUUGACUUGAGUGCAGAAGAGGAGAGUGGAAUUCCAUGUGUAGCGGUGAAAUGCGUAGAUAUAUGGAGGAACACCGGUGGCGAAAGCGGCUCUCUGGUCUGUAACUGACGCUGAGGCUCGAAAGCGUGGGGAGCGAACAGG